This 210-nucleotide unclassified non-coding RNA is filed under the name plant metagenome. Its description in RNAcentral is "partial contains small subunit ribosomal RNA, internal transcribed spacer 1, and 5.8S ribosomal RNA". The record is from RNAcentral.
UCUCCGUUGGUGAACCAGCGGAGGGAUCAUUACUGGAAUCGCAAGAUCCCACAACCCCUGUGAACCUACCGAAACGUUGCCUCGGCGGGCGCCCGGCCCCGCGCCGGGCGCUAAGCCCGCCGGCGGCCCCCUACUCUUGUCUCUGCAGCGUGGCAUCUCAGCGUCCCAGAAAACAAGUAAAAACUUUCAACAACGGAUCUCUUGGCUCUG